GCCCGCUCAGAAACUACAAAGGAAGUUGACGGGGGCCCGGCGACAAGCGGUGGAGUAUGUGGUUUAAUUCGAUGCAACGCGAAGAACCUUACCUGGUCUUGACAUCCCGGAGACCCUUAGGAAACUAGGGGUGCUUCCAUCUGGAAGAAUCUGGAGACAGGUGCUGCAUGGCUGUCGUCAGCUCGUGUCGUGAGAUGUUGGGUUAAGUCCCGCAACGAGCGCAACCCUUGCCUUUAGUUGCCAGCAGUUCGGCUGGGCACUCUAAAGGGACUGCCGGUGUUAAACCGGAGGAAGGUGGGGAUGACGUCAAGUCCUCAUGGCCUUUAUGACCAGGGCUACACACGUACUACAAUGGCCGAUACAAAGGGCAGCGACACUGCGAGGUGAAGCCAAUCCCGUAAAAUCGGUCUCAGUCCGGAUUGGAGUCUGCAACUCGACUCCAUGAAGUUGGAAUCGCUAGUAAUCGUGGAUCAGCAUGCCACGGUGAAUACGUUCCCGGGCCUU
RNAcentral lists this ribosomal RNA (504 nucleotides) under uncultured Desulfobulbus sp. Its description in RNAcentral is "bacterial SSU rRNA". It matches the Rfam family "Bacterial small subunit ribosomal RNA", at positions 903 to 1382 of the family's 1533-position model. The record is from RNAcentral. Lineage: Bacteria; Pseudomonadati; Thermodesulfobacteriota; Desulfobulbia; Desulfobulbales; Desulfobulbaceae.